This is a long non-coding RNA of Daphnia magna, 434 nucleotides long. RefSeq lists it as uncharacterized. NCBI's taxonomy places the organism in Eukaryota, Metazoa, Arthropoda, Branchiopoda, Diplostraca, Daphniidae. The record is from RefSeq and is a predicted model, not a curated record. The transcript has 3 exons.
GUUUGGGUUCUGGCUUUGUUUUUUUUUUUUUCAUAUACGCAGGAUCAGUCCAGAUUCUUUGAUGUAUCUUACCAAGGCAUUGCUAAUUUCGUGUUGGGUGUUUGUUGCUCUACUCUCUCCAGCUCAGUGGCUGGACAGUGAAGUAUGGCAUGGGCUGUGGUUUCAUUUUCCCCGCAGUAGGGACAGGCUUGAUCUACUUCACUUUGGAAUCGAGCCAAGUUUGCUGCCAGUCUAUUGUGUCCUGAUCGCAACCUGAACAGGGUUCUCGUUACCUGCCUGGAUUUGUGUAUGUGCCAUUUGAGCAUGCCAGUUCUGGAUCUCAGGUGUUCCCGUAGGAUUGCUUCUUGCUCCCCUGUUGAAAGCAGGUUGCAAAUUUCCUUGGUGGCGACGAGAUUUAAGGAUUCCUUCACGGCAAGCUGGUCGGCCCUUUCGUU